This 705-nucleotide long non-coding RNA is filed under the name Scleropages formosus (Asian bonytongue). RNAcentral's name for it is "lncRNA (ENSSFOG00015029783.1)". The record is from RNAcentral. Lineage: Eukaryota; Metazoa; Chordata; Actinopteri; Osteoglossiformes; Osteoglossidae.
CUUAUGAAUCACAGUAAAUAAAUAUACACAAUAAGAUGGACAGGAAACAUGGAGAGGGAAAAGCAGAACUACUUUCCUUUCUGAGAAAACACGACUACGUGGAGAACAGGUUCUGUAUAAGUCACGCUACACAAAGGGCCUUUGUCUGUGGACCACGUUGUACAACGGAGAGAAAAUUUUCGCAAAGGGUCCUCGUUCUACAUUUUUUACGUCGGCUUGUGAAGAUCAAUGUCUGUUCUGCUAAGUAUGAAAAUUCCUUGUUUCGGCAGUGGUGCUUCAUAAAGGGUUGCAGUGAGCCGGAGCCUAUCCUGGAGACAGUCGGGGAACACCAGUCCAUCACAGGGCUACAGGGUAUAAUCGGGAUGCUGCAGGUGUCGCUAUGAAAAUGGAAAAGCCCCCUUGAAGAGAGGCUGAGAGCCGCACUGAACAGCAUUCUGGGAAAUGCAGUCCAGUGACGGGAUGCUGCAGUUUCUCAGGGUAAUACAGCAGAGUGCGAGUUAAACUGGCAACCCACAGGUUAUAAAUCCAUGUCCAGAACUUCUCCAUACUAUGGUAUAUUCUGGCAUGUUUAGCUGUUAAGGGAAAAAUGGGCAAUGUGCUACAUAUCACUGGAAUGAAACCAGAAGGUGGCCAGUUCAAAUAACUAUUGUUGGCCUGCUUUGUUACGGUAUCUGUUUUAGUAAAAUAUGCAGCUGGAUAAGGCAG